AUCUACUCAAAAAAUUUUUUAUAAAAUUAAUUAAUUAGAAGGAACUCGGCAAUUUAAUGCUCCGCCUGUUUAUCAAAAACAUGGCUCUUUGUAAACAAAAAAUAAAGAGUCGAGCCUGCCCAGUGAAUUUUCAACGGCCGCGGUACUCUGACCGUGCAAAGGUAGCAUAAUCAUUUGCCUUAUAAUUGAAGGCUAGUAUGAAUGGUUUGACGAGAGCAAUACUGUCUCCUUAUUAUUUUCAAGAACUUAACUUUUAGGUGAAGAGGCCUAAAUUUUAUUGAAGGACAAGAAGACCCUGUCGAGCUUAAAAGAUUAUAUAGGAGUCUAUAUAUCUUUAGAUAAAUUUCUAUUGAGCUUUUUAGUUGGGGCGACUGAGGAACAAAAAAAGCUUCUUUUUAAAAAAUAAACAAUCAUGUUUAGAUCCGGUAGUAGCGAUUAAGGAAAUUAGUUACCGCAGGGAUAACAGCAUAAUCUCUCUUGAGAGACCUAAUCGAAAGAAGGGGGUUGUGACCCUCGAUGUUGGACUAGAAUAUCCUAAAGACGCA
Molecule: ribosomal RNA, 545 nt
Filed under: Semisulcospira ningpoensis
Lineage: Eukaryota; Metazoa; Mollusca; Gastropoda; Semisulcospiridae
Description: partial large subunit ribosomal RNA
Rfam family: Bacterial large subunit ribosomal RNA
Source: RNAcentral